UACAGAGGGGGCAAGCGUUGUUCGGAAUUACUGGGCGUAAAGGGCGCGUAGGUGGCCUUCUAAGUUGAACGUGAAAUCCCUGGGCUCAACCCAGGAACUGCGUCCAAGACUGGGAGGCCUGAAUCCGGGAGAGGGAUGCGGAAUUCCAGGUGUAGCGGUGAAAUGCGUAGAUAUCUGGAGGAACACCGGUGGCGAAGGCGGCAUCCUGGACCGGUAUUGACACUGAGGCGCGAAAGCGUGGGGAGCAAACAGG
Molecule: ribosomal RNA, 253 nt
Filed under: uncultured bacterium
Lineage: Bacteria
Description: partial 16S ribosomal RNA
Rfam family: Bacterial small subunit ribosomal RNA
Source: RNAcentral